This 845-nucleotide ribosomal RNA is filed under the name uncultured bacterium. RNAcentral's name for it is "bacterial SSU rRNA". It matches the Rfam family "Bacterial small subunit ribosomal RNA", at positions 8 to 853 of the family's 1533-position model. The record is from RNAcentral.
AGAGUUUGAUCAUGGCUCAGGACGAACGCUGGCGGCGCGCGUAACACAUGCAAGUCGAACGGAGUUCUUUUGAUGAAGUUUUCGGAUGGAUUCACUUGAACUUAGUGGCGGACGGGUGAGUAACACGUGAGCAACCUGCCUAUCAGAGGGGGAUAACGAUUGGAAACGAUCGCUAAUACCGCAUAACGCAGCGAGGAGGCAUCUUCUUGCUACCAAAGAUUUAUCGCUGAUAGAUGGGCUCGCGUCCGAUUAGAUAGUUGGUGAGGUAACGGCCCACCAAGUCGACGAUCGGUAGCCGGACUGAGAGGUCGAACGGCCACAUUGGGACUGAGACACGGCCCAGACUCCUACGGGAGGCAGCAGUGGGGGAUAUUGCACAAUGGGGGAAACCCUGAUGCAGCGACGCCGCGUGAGGGAAGACGGUCCUCUGGAUUGUAAACCUCUGUCUUCGGGGACGAAACGAGACGGUACCCGAGGAGGAAGCCACGGCUAACUACGUGCCAGCAGCCGCGGUAAUACGUAGGUGGCAAGCGUUGUCCGGAAUUACUGGGUGUAAAGGGAGCGUAGGCGGGCAGGCAAGUCAGGCGUGAAAGAUAUCGGCUCAACCGGUAGCUGCGCUUGAAACUGCAGGUCUUGAGUGAAGUAGAGGUUGGCGGAAUUCCUAGUGUAGCGGUGAAAUGCGUAGAUAUUAGGAGGAACACCAGUGGCGAAGGCGGCCAACUGGGCUUUUACUGACGCUGAGGCUCGAAAGUGUGGGGAGCAAACAGGAUUAGAUACCCUGGUAGUCCACACCGUAAACGAUGAUUACUAGGUGUGGGGGGACUGACCCCUUCCGUGCCGGAGUU